AUGGCUGCUUCUUCUUCUUCCUCCUCCUCGUCCUCCUCCUCGUCCUCUCCGUCCUCCCCCUCCGACCCGGACUACAAGGUCACCACCUCUGACAUCGAGGACGACGCCGCCGGGGUCGAGCCCCCAUCGUCGGACGAGGAAUUCCCCUCCGUCUUCCGCACGCAGGGCCACGUGGACGCGGUGUGCAUGAAGUACGGCAUCCCCAAGGACCAGUACACCGCCCUCCCCGCCGGCGACCUGCGCGCGAGCUCGUCCCCACCGCACGGCGCCGUCUGCGUGUACGCGCACGCGCUGGAGGCCGGGAUGCGCGUCCCUCUUCACCCCUUCUUCGUCGACGCGCUCAACCACUUCGGCCUCGCGCCGACGCAGCUCGCGCCCAACGGGUGGCGCAUCAUGGCGGGAUUCAUUGUGCUCUGCCGCUCCGCUGGCGUGCCGCCGUCCCUCGCGGUGUUCCGGCGCUUCUUCGUGCUGUCCGCCCUCCCCCACAAGCACAAAAGAGGCUGGUACUACUUCCAACCCAGGUCGAAGGGCGGAUCCGGCUUGCGCUUCACGGGGUUGCCGGAGUCCAUCAAGGGUUGGAAGCGCGGGUUCUUCUUCCUCUCUUCGCCGACCGCGUGGCCUUGUCCUGUGGAAUGGGGCAAGCCGUCCAAGAGCUCCCUCGUGGACCCUGUGCUCUCCGCCGAAGAUGAGGCAUCGGCGGCCAAGUUGCUAUCUGCUCAGGGAGCCUCCUCCAUUGAUCUCAGGAAGUAUCUUUGCAUCAGAAAUCUUGCCGAGGCCGGGAUAUCUCCCUUGCCGGCACCGGUACGGGCGCCGCCAUCACCGCAGCUCCCGGCACCGGAGCCGUCGUCACCGCAGCCGCCGCCUUCUUGUACUUGUACUGCUACCGAGUCCAAAGGGAUGGAUCCGGCAGUGUACGGCAUGAUGAAAUCCAUGCUGGCAGUGAAGGCGGCGGUGGCAAGAACAUUGGCAUCGACGAACAAGGUGGAAAUUGAGCCGGGCAGCGACGUGACGAGAUCGCCGCCGUUGCGUGGGAAGAAGAGGAAUCUGGGAGAAGCAGACGGCAGCGACGGCCCACCAUCUGUGCUGCCAGACACUCCGUCUACCGCCGGUGACAGCUCGGCGCCGACCGGAAUUUGUUCCCCGCCCGAGGCCUUCUCCCGGAGCAGCCGGAAGAUUCAGCAUAUUCCCAGCGGACACGACGGCGACAGCACCGACUGGGUGGCCGCGCGGGAGAGGCUGCGGGGCGCCGUCCCGCCGCAGCAGGACCGCGUGUUUGCGGCGACGGAGCCCUCCGACAUCGUCGCGUCCACCUACGUCGCCGUUCUUCAGGCUGCAAACUACGCGUCCUUCUCCUUGGCCUACGCGCUGGAGCUGGAGCAGCGGCUGGACGCGCGGGACGCGGCUGGAGAGGUCGGAGGCCAAGCUCGCCGCGGCGGAGGCGGAGGUGGAGACGGUGAAGGCCGAGCGCGCCGUGCGGCGACGCGCGCAGGACGCGCUGGAUGGUUACGAGCGCUGGCGGGGCGCGAACGCGGGGCAGAGGACGUGAAGCGCGCUGUGCGCUCUAGCUGUCCUCUCUACGCCGUUCGGCAGGUCAGGCGGACGCUUAAUUACCUUGUAGAUUAA
Molecule: ribosomal RNA, 1623 nt
Filed under: Triticum aestivum (bread wheat)
Lineage: Eukaryota; Viridiplantae; Streptophyta; Magnoliopsida; Poales; Poaceae
Description: partial small subunit ribosomal RNA
Source: RNAcentral